GAUGAAGAACGUAGCGAAAUGCGAUAAGUAAUGUGAAUUGCAGAAUUCAGUGAAUCAUCGAAUCUUUGAACGCACAUUGCGCCCGCGAGUAUUCUCGCGGGCAUGCCUGUCCGUGCGUCAUUUCAACCCUCAGGGCCCGCCUGCUUGCAGGCGCGGCGCUGGUGUUGGGGAUCGGCUACCCUGCCGUCCCCCAAAUACAGUGGCGGUCUCGCUGCAGCCUCCCCUGCGUAGUAGCAACACUCGCAUGCGGAGCGCGGCGCGGCCACGCCGUAAAACCCCCGACUUUCUGAACGUUGACCUCGGAUCAGGUAGGAAUACCCGCUGAACUUAAGCAUAUCAAUAAGCGGAGGA
This 351-nucleotide unclassified non-coding RNA is filed under the name soil metagenome. RNAcentral's name for it is "partial contains 5.8S ribosomal RNA, internal transcribed spacer 2, and large subunit ribosomal RNA". The stretch from base 1 to 120 matches the Rfam family "5.8S ribosomal RNA", at positions 35 to 154 of the family's 154-position model. The record is from RNAcentral.